UGGGGAAUUUUGGACAAUGGGGGCAACCCUGAUCCAGCAAUGCCGCGUGUGUGAAGAAGGCCUUCGGGUUGUAAAGCACUUUUGUCCGGAAAGAAAACGCCGUGGUUAAUACCCGUGGCGGAUGACGGUACCGGAAGAAUAAGCACCGGCUAACUACGUGCCAGCAGCCGCGGUAAUACGUAGGGUGCAAGCGUUAAUCGGAAUUACUGGGCGUAAAGCGUGCGCAGGCGGUCCGCUAAGACAGAUGUGAAAUCCCCGGGCUUAACCUGGGAACUGCAUUUGUGACUGGCGGGCUAGAGUAUGGCAGAGGGGGGUAGAAUUCCACGUGUAGCAGUGAAAUGCGUAGAGAUGUGGAGGAAUACCGAUGGCGAAGGCAGCCCCCUGGGCCAAUACUGACGCUCAUGCACGAAAGCGUGGGGGAGCAAACAGGAUUAGAUACCCUGGUAGUCCACGCCCUAAACGAUGUCAACUAGUUGUCGGGUCUUCAUUGACUUGGUAACGUAGCUAACGCGUGAAGUUGACCGCCUGGGGAGUACGGUCGCAAGAUUAAAACU
This 554-nucleotide ribosomal RNA is filed under the name uncultured bacterium. Its description in RNAcentral is "partial 16S ribosomal RNA". It matches the Rfam family "Bacterial small subunit ribosomal RNA", at positions 355 to 901 of the family's 1533-position model. The record is from RNAcentral.